Molecule: ribosomal RNA, 461 nt
Filed under: Delftia acidovorans
Lineage: Bacteria; Pseudomonadati; Pseudomonadota; Betaproteobacteria; Burkholderiales; Comamonadaceae
Description: bacterial SSU rRNA
Rfam family: Bacterial small subunit ribosomal RNA
Source: RNAcentral
AUUGAACGCUGGCGGCAUGCCUUACACAUGCAAGUCGAACGGUAACAGGUCUUCGGAYGCUGACGAGUGGCGAACGGGUGAGUAAUACAUCGGAACGUGCCCAGUCGUGGGGGAUAACUACUCGAAAGAGUAGCUAAUACCGCAUACGAUCUGAGGAUGAAAGCGGGGGACCUUCGGGCCUCGCGCGAUUGGAGCGGCCGAUGGCAGAUUAGGUAGUUGGUGGGAUAAAAGCUUACCAAGCCGACGAUCUGUAGCUGGUCUGAGAGGACGACCAGCCACACUGGGACUGAGACACGGCCCAGACUCCUACGGGAGGCAGCAGUGGGGAAUUUUGGACAAUGGGCGAAAGCCUGAUCCAGCAAUGCCGCGUGCAGGAUGAAGGCCUUCGGGUUGUAAACUGCUUUUGUACGGAACGAAAAAGCUCCUUCUAAUACAGGGGGCCCAUGACGGUACCGUAAGAA